CUUUUGUUUAUUUAGACAAUAGGAAAGAUCGUAAAUUCAACAUUGUUAGUUAAUUUUAUAUCAUAACCUUAACCCAUGAUUAAAUUUCCAAGAUUCCAUACAGUUACAAUUUAGAGAAAACAAGAGUUUAGAAUUAUAACAUAGUUUAGGGACCCGUCCAAUGCCCGUACAUCACCCACACAAAUGUCUACGGAGCUUGUAAGGAUACAAAUGACAGUUAUAAUAAUACUGACAACAAGGCCCCGACCAUACCUCAAAAGAUGUACAGCAUAACCCCCAGAAGAAAAGGGGCUCACAAGAAUUUUCUGAUGGAGGAUACCCUGCUACCUUAGAUCAGCACUGUCCACAAUAAAACCACCUACCUUCAUUUAAAAAAUGUAGCACCCCCGACAAAAGGGACAUUAGUACAAUGGAAUAGCACUAGAAUAUAUAACUAAAAACCAUCAUAUUAGAAAGAACUAUCAUACAAGAGUAGGGAAAUCAUAAGAGACAAUCAAAGGUUUAACCGAACACCACAUAAUAAAAUAAAAGAAUCAUAUAACUUUCACGUAGUUUCAUUGCUUUAGUUUGGGGCAUUUCAUACUGUUCAUUAUUAUUAUUCAAAAUACUACCGCUUUCUUAAGCAGAGUUCGAUCAUAGCCUGAUCGGCUAGGUUUCCUCAUUUGAGACAUGUCCCUCAAUCACAAUCUCAUUCUCACUUUCUGAAAUUCAAUAUCAGCACAAUAUCACUAUGGCAUCUGAUCAUGGCUUGAUCGGCUAGGCCGCCAUACCAAGACAUUCCUUUCUCAUUAAUCAUCUCAUUUCAAUCUUCUUCCAUAUAUAUCAAUUCAUAGGCACUUCAGGCCAAAAUUAUCACAUAAUUUCCACUUUCUAUUUUAACCUUGCAAUUUACCAUCAUAGACACAUAAAAAAGAAAUUCAAAAUGUAAGUAUAGGUAAGAUUUCACAUAGUUGGCAUGACAAUCUCAAUUUUAAUCUUGAUGUGAAGUCUAGGACUUUCAACACAUGGUUCAUAUGCUUUGCACAUCAUUAAAUAUCUUGGAUAGUACAUAGCACAUAUUGAGGCACACCUUUCAUGUGUAUGUGUAUGUGUGUGUGUGUGUGUGUAUAUAUAUAUAUAUAUAUAUAUAUAUUUCAAAACCAAUUCAUGCGAAAUAGCAAUCAAUACAUCAAUUAAAUUUUUGUCUUACCACAUAUGCAUAUAUACCAAUGGAGCUCAAUUUCUAAGAAGAGGGGUUUUUAGCCAUACAUACCUCGAUAGGACUUUUCUUAAAUUCUUACAGAAUUCCGGCACUCUUAGCGACUUUGAUAUAUUUUAUGAGAAUUAUAAAUUGAACUAAGAAUUAGGGACAUGAUUAAGAUUAUUGCUCAUUUAAGUAUAUUACCAAGCACUAAGUGUGCAUUGUGAUUUUAGGACCCUUUUGUGAGAUAUUUUUAUCAUCUUACCCCAAAUGUUAUCUUUUUAACUCACAAUCUCCCCAUACCCUAUUAUCACUCAUGAAUAUCGGAUAAUCAACCUUUAUACCCAUGAACCCAUUUGCUAAUCACUUAUUUUAAUAGAAAUUUCGAAAUCAUAUAUUAAGGCUCAAGUUAUUACCUCUUAGGAUAAAGGCCUAGCAAAUUUUACUUGAAAGCCUUCAAUGAUUUGGGCAAGGAUUGUAGUGACUUGGUGAGAGUUAGUUCCUCCUGUCACACCUCCUUUUUCCUAUCCCUAGAAGGGUAAAAGGGAUUUUUUCCUAUUUAAGUAACUAUUGAAAUGGGAUUAUUUAUUUAACAUCAAAGUCACAACCUGGAAUAAUUUAUGGUGUCCCAAGUCACCGUUUUAAUAUCCCGAAUCGAGAAAACUGACUCUUAUUACAGUUUGCGAACACAAGAAUCCAGGUAAUAAAUUUUAUUAACCCGCAAGAAGGUGUUAGGCAUUCCUGCGCUCCGUGGUUCUAGCACGGCCUCUUUGAUCAUACUUGGGUUAAACAAAUUGUCUAAUUGCUUAUUUUAGAACCUAUGUGCAUUGAUCUUUCUCCGCUUUUUAAUUAAGAAAAUUAUCUUGAAAUCGGUCACACGCACGUGUACCCAUUUAUCCGGCACGUCAAAAACCACUUCACGCGAAUGUGUCUGUAAUUAAUAACUCUUUAUUAACGUUGAGAAAAUUUUGCUGAAGUUGCGCGAACGCAUACUCCAGCUUUGUUUUUAGAGAUCGCAACAAUCAUGUCAUGCGAAUGAGUCCACAAUCACAAUGAUAUAUUAAAUGGGCCUAGAUCAACUAUGAGUAUUUGUCCUUUUUAUAUUUAAGUCAAGAAAUUAAUACGAGGGCCAUAUGUGAUUUAAUUAUGGAUGGCACACCUCGAGCUAUACAAACUAAAAUUAACUAAUAGUCCAUGAAAACCCAUUUUUUGUUAUUAUGAAAAAAUUUAUUGAAGUUGCACGGAUGCAUACGCCGAAUUGAUUUUUAGAAUCAUGAUCAUGUUACACGAACCUAUACAUAAUCACGGUAUUAUUUUAAAUGGCCCUAAAGGAUUUCUACAAAUAUUUUAAGGUUAUGAGAUCUCUAGUCCGAUGGCUAGGUGAUUGGGCACGUGAUUGGGGAGUACUUAUUCUUUUUAAACUACUUGUUUCGAGCAUUUGGCCAAACCCAGUCCUGAAACAUGAACACUAUUAAGUGCUAAUGGGUUUUGGUCAAUUCUCACUCCCAUAUUCCAAUACAUUUCACUGUCACGAUUAUAUCAAGCAAGACAAAUGUUAAAACCAGCGAAACAUGGCAAAGAGACUAAGUAAUAGGCUAAACCAUACAUCCACAGUAUGCGAGAUUGGAAAAUCAAGGGAAAAUGGUGACAUAAACAACUAUUAUGGAAGGCAUGACCAAAGUAGUGAACUAUCCCAAGGAUUAUCUUUUGUAAAUGAAUCAAACUGAUUGAGGCAUUCAUUUUAAAUUAAAAACUUUGGUGUCAAAGUUGAUAGUAUUCAAAUAACCAGGAAAAAGGCAGACAAACACCAGCAAUUUACUGUCAGUGCAUGAUAAAGUACGCAAAAUCGUUAUGUAACGACACAAAUGACUAAACAUUAAGAAGUUGAUGACUGUAACCCCUGGUGUUCCUUCAUAAUCAAUUAAUUUCCCUUUCAUAUGCUAGUAAAUAAACCUAGCUGUGACAAUUCGCACUCGUAAAGAAUUCUCAUUUCACAAAAUACUAACUAAAAAUGAAGAUUACUGAAUUUUGCGAGUUCAUAUAAGUUGUAGAGUAUUUGGUCAUGUGUUGAAUUUCAAGCCACAAACCAUAUUCACAUGGAUAAAAUCCUAGUACGAAGGCUUCAUAUUAUUUAAACGAAAUACCAACAGCGCAGAAUUUGCACUCAAGAAAUUAUGCGAACUUGGUGCUUAAACAAUGUAGGACAACGGAAAUUUUCAGCAGCCAUAGUAAUCUAAACAAAUAAUGACUACACUUAGCUACUCUCAAAAGAUAUCCCAGCAACUCUUAUGGGACCUUUAGCAUAAACAAUGCUAAAACAAGGUUGAAGAUGUUUAGCACCAACAUCGAGUCCUAAUAGUAACAUAUAGGUCGUCAACCAAUAACUAAUUUCAAACACUUCCAUUACCUCUCUCACUUGGGAAAAUUCUAAGUAAAAGGCCAUGAAUAAUUUGAUGUGAGCUCUGACUUAAGCAGCUUAAGAGGAAGAGUCCAGGAAAUACCAAUUACGGAAGACAAUUGUUCUCAAUUUAUAAUUCAUUCAAUGACUGAAUAUCUAUAGCAGCAGCACAUAGAGGGUCCAAUGUCCAAAUAGCAUUCAUGUCUCUUAAUACCUAAUAUAUAUACUAACAUACACCUCUACAACAUUAACACAUCAUUAGGGAUUAAACAACGGAGAUAAAAAUACAGUAUCGAUACAUAUUGAAAAUCAAAUCAAAUACACAAAUCAACUAGCUCAAAAGGUACAAAUUUAUUGUUUAAACCCUUGCUAAGUUAUAACUCUUAGAUUGAAUAAGCCAUCAUGUUCAUCCAUUCUAAUACAUUAGGAGGUGAAGUAUAUAUUUGGAUUUCAAAACAAAUAGAAAUUGAUGGCUUAGCAGCAGAAUAGAAGCAGCAAUAAAGUCAGCUUAGGAAACAACAGGGAAAAUAAGAUUUGAACCAGAUUUAAAUCAGCAGAAAUAGUAAGCAGUUCCCAAUAAUCAGAAACAUUACCCAACACUUGAAUCAAACUCUCGACAUUCAGCAAAAAUCAGAUCAUUUCAAUCAGACAGAAUACAAGAAAUAUUUCAGUAAUUGAAGAACUUCAGAAAUCAAAAGAGAGGCAAUGAAACAUUGCUUUUUUUUUACUUUUAGCCGUUUCUCUUUUCUGGACUUUCUAUCUUUUUUUUCCUUGCCUUGAAAGGAAAGAAUGAGAUGUCUUUAUAGUCAAUGCAAUAGGGCAUCUUUAGAUUUUGGUUUUUUUUAUCAAUCCUAUGCCUUUCUAAUUUUUGUUUUUGCUACUUAAUCCCUCAAAUUUUGGCUUGUUUGCCUAGUAAGGCUCUUUUUCAGCUUCUAGGAAGCUUCCUAGGUAGUUAUUUGAGAGAUUCUCACGCCGCAUUUCUAUACUACUCCCGAUUGUCCCUAUUUUUACCAUUAGUAACCAAACAAAUCAAACCUAACCCAAAGCCUUCGGGCUCAAAACAGAUAUGGGCCCUUAAUUCCCUCAAAUAUAUCUUACUACAAGCCCUAAAACUAGUCACAAAUCAGCCCAGUAACAAAUCAAGAAAAGGAUGAUAAGAUCCCCAAAAUAAUUUACAACUCUGAUUUAAACCAAAUGGGAAUCCAAAAUUAACCAUGACAAAUUCCAAUAAAAUACUAAUCUAACUACAUGAAUGAACAUCUUAAAAAUCACUGACUUUAAUUAGAUUGAAACUAAUUCGAGUCUCGUGACAGAACAAGAACUCAAAAAAAAGAAACAAAACAGGACAAGAGGAAAGCAAAGGGAGAAGGAGAGCAUUGAUGCUAACCGCAAUGGAUCGAUGAAGACGAUGAACUCGGCCAAAUGUUCUUGGUCUGGUCCAGGACGAACAACUCUCGACACGAGCCAAAAUUAAUGUUAAGUGAUUACUCUAAGUAAGAACAAUCGCUUUAUGACAUUAUUAGUCAAAUCAAGUCUUGAGAGCACAAGAAUUGAAACGUUAUUUCAUUUCUGAUUUUCCAUUCCUAUGUGGAGAUUUUUGGGGAGAUGGGCUCUGGGUUGAUGUUUGAAUGAGUGUGGGGAAUGGAUGGUAAGAUUUUAAGAUUGGUUUGGAGCUGAAAAACCAGUAAAUAUGGAAGAUUAGGGCUUCAGAUGGAGAAGAUGAAAUAACGGGAGUGUUUGGAGGAGAUGAGGAAUCUUUGAACUUUUCAGACAUAUUAACGAAAUUGGGUCUUUAGUCCCUCACUGUUGGAUAGAUGGAGAUGAAUGUCCAGGAUUAAACACUUACCAAAAC
Molecule: long non-coding RNA, 5430 nt
Filed under: Nicotiana benthamiana
Lineage: Eukaryota; Viridiplantae; Streptophyta; Magnoliopsida; Solanales; Solanaceae
Description: long non-coding RNA (NBEN_LNC034240)
Source: RNAcentral